UGGGGAAUAUUGGACAAUGGGCGAAAGCCUGAUCCAGCAAUGCCGCGUGUGUGAAGAAGGUCUUCGGAUUGUAAAGCACUUUCGGCGGGGACGAUGAUGACGGUACCCGCAGAAGAAGCCCCGGCUAACUUCGUGCCAGCAGCCGCGGUAAUACGAAGGGGGCUAGCGUUGCUCGGAAUGACUGGGCGUAAAGGGCGCGUAGGCGGUUUGCCAAGUUAGAUGUGAAAUUCCUGGGCUUAACCUGGGGACUGCAUUUGAUACUGGCAGGCUUGAGUGUGGAAGAGGGUCGUGGAAUUCCCAGUGUAGAGGUGAAAUUCGUAGAUAUUGGGAAGAACACCGGUGGCGAAGGCGGCGACCUGGUCCAUAACUGACGCUGAGGCGCGAAAGCGUGGGGAGCAAACAGGAUUAGAUACCCCCGUAGUCC
RNAcentral lists this ribosomal RNA (424 nucleotides) under uncultured bacterium. Its description in RNAcentral is "bacterial SSU rRNA". It matches the Rfam family "Bacterial small subunit ribosomal RNA", at positions 355 to 796 of the family's 1533-position model. The record is from RNAcentral.